RNAcentral lists this ribosomal RNA (393 nucleotides) under uncultured bacterium. RNAcentral describes it as "partial 16S ribosomal RNA". It matches the Rfam family "Bacterial small subunit ribosomal RNA", at positions 523 to 918 of the family's 1533-position model. The record is from RNAcentral.
AUACGGAGGAUGCGAGCGCUAUCCGGAUUUAUUGGGUUUAAAGGGAGCGUAGGUGGGAUAUUAAGUCAGCUGUGAAAGUUUGGGGCUCAACCUUAAAAUUGCAGUUGAUACUGGUUUCCUUGAGUACGGUACAGGUGGGCGGAAUUCGUGGUGUAGCGGUGAAAUGCUUAGAUAUCACGAAGAACUCCGAUCGCGAAGGCAGCUCACCGGGCCGGAACUGACACUGAUGCUCGAAAGUGCGGGUAUCAAACAGGAUUAGAUACCCUGGUAGUCCGCACAGUAAACGAUGAAUACUCGCUGUUUGCGAUACACGGUAAGCGGCCAAGCGAAAGCGUUAAGUAUUCCACCUGGGGAGUACGCCGGCAACGGUGAAACUCAAAUGAAUUGACGGGG